Long non-coding RNA from Homo sapiens (human), 2017 nucleotides. RefSeq lists it as uncharacterized. NCBI's taxonomy places the organism in Eukaryota, Metazoa, Chordata, Mammalia, Primates, Hominidae. The transcript is spliced from 2 exons. The record is from RefSeq and is a predicted model, not a curated record.
CAUGUUUCCAGCCAGAGCGGAGAGCCGUAAACAUCUUGAGGGCUGGGGCGGUGUCUGACUCAUGGCUGGAUUCCCCCAAGCCAAUGCAGAGCGGGAACCUAGCGACACUCAAACACGUUUAAGAGUAAAUUUCUGUUUGAGUCACCAAAGUAAAGAAAUCCAGUCCCCAGUACCAAUUGAAAUAAACCACAAAACACUUUGCCGAAUGGAAACUUGUUCUGCAAUGGUAAAGCAUGACUUUAACUUUAGCCAAAUUACUUCCCAGGAGUUAAACUAACUCAUGAUCUCACUGUCCACUGAAAAAAACUGUUCUUAGUCUGUUUGAGCCAUUGUAAUAUAGACUGGGUAACUUGUACACAGCAGACAUCUAUUUCUCCCAGGUCUGGAGGCUGGGCAUCUGAGAUCGGGACCAGCAUGGUUAGGUUCUGGUGCAGCCCAGAGCAGCAGGAGCUGUGCCCUGGCCCCUGUCCUGAGGAGCUCCCACUGGUCAGCCCCGCCUACUCCAGCUGGACCUUGAUGCUUCACACAAGGUGUGCGCAGAGGACACAGGCACUUCAUGGAGCAACAUACUUUUGUAAAAAAAAUGAAUUCCCUUGUAACAAAUAGAGCACGGAGGCUUUUAUAGAUUAAGUAAUUUGUAGUCUUCUUAUAAUUAUGGCUUCUAAAUUACCUAAAAUAAUUCAUUCAAGGCUUGAUUUUAGUUUUGUCUUGAGAGUGUCAACUCUUUAACUUGAGAUGCUGUAGGAUGGGGUUUCAUCUUGGGAUUCUUUUCUUGGAUAUGUCAUUUAAAUUCUGAUACUUAUAUUCCCUAUUUGAAAACACAUGAUCAAUGACAAUACCAAUACCUGAUUUGUGUGCAAUACUUAUAAUUUACAACGUACAUUAUUUUAACAUACAUUCUUUUCAUGCGACCCUCUCAACAACCCUUUGACAAGGCAAGUCAGAGACUAAUUACUAGAGAUUAUUCAAGCGACUUGCUCCAAGUCAUACAGUAGGCAGGCAGCCAAGAUGACUCUAGUUUUUCCAACUCCUAGUCCCACACUCUUUCCUCUCCCCUUACAUGUUCUGAUAUAAAUCAAACUUAGGUUUGAAAAUAUCUUAUUGAUGUAUUUCAACACCCCAGAAUUUGAUGAGACUGGAAUCGAUUUGUUGUGAUCUGUGAUUGCUGAAUUCCUCGUAUGUGGUGGAUACCAAGGUAAGUUGACUAGAAUGUGAGCUUGCCUACCCAGACACCAGUUCCCAUGUCCUUUGUCCGGUGGUAUAAUUUGAAGUUCACUCUUUUUGGUGUACAGUUUUAUGAGUUGAGUUGUGAAAAACAUAUACAGUUGUGUAUCCACCACUACAGUCAAGAUAUAGAACAGUUCCAUUACCUCAAAAAUUUUUUUCAGGCCGGGCGCAGUGGCUCACGCCUGUAAUCCCAGCACUUUAGGAGGCCAAAGCGGGCGGAUCACGAGGUCAGGAGAUCGAGACCAUCCUGGCUAACGCUGUGAAACCAUGUCUCUACUAAAAAUACAAAAAAAUUAGCCAGGCGUGGUGGCAGGUGCCUGUGGUCCCAGCUACUUGGGAGGCUGAGGCAAGAGAACCGCUUGACCCUGGGAGGCAGAGGUUGCGGUGAGCCAAGAUCGCGCCACUGCACUCCAACCUGGGCGACAGAGCGAGAGUCCAUCUCAAAAAGAAAACAUCAUACUCUUUUGUAGUCAACCCUAGCUAGGCCCCUAUAGUUUUGCCUUUCCCAAAGUAUCUUAUGCAUGGAAUCAUCCAGGAGAUAACCUCCUGAAUCAGGCUUCUGUCUCUUAGCAUAAUGCAUUUGGGAUUUACCAUGUUAUUUCAUUUAUCAGGUUUUUGUCCCUUUUCAUUGCUGAGUAGUAUUUCAUUAUAGGAAUGUACUCUCGUUUGUGGAUCAUUCUGAUCAACUCAGCACAUGUGGAUUAUUUCCAGUCUUGGCAAUGAUGAAUAAAGUCACUCUAAGCAUUCACGUACAGGUUUUUGCAUGAAUAAAAUACCUAGGAGUGAGAAA